AACGUAGGUACCGAGCGUUAUCCGGAUUUACGGGGAGUAAAGCGCGUUCAGGCGGUUUGGCAAGUCGGGCAUGAAAUCUCUCGGCUCAACCGGGAGAGGUUGUCCGAUACUUCCAGACUUGAGGGCAGUAGAGGGUGGUGGAAUUCCGGGUGUAGUGGUGAAAUGCGCAGAUAUCAGGAGGAACACCGGUGGCGAAGGCGGGUCUCUGGGCAACAACUGACGCUGAGGAGCGAAAUCGUGGGGAGCGAACAGG
RNAcentral lists this ribosomal RNA (253 nucleotides) under uncultured bacterium. RNAcentral's name for it is "partial 16S ribosomal RNA". It matches the Rfam family "Bacterial small subunit ribosomal RNA", at positions 524 to 776 of the family's 1533-position model. The record is from RNAcentral.